This 490-nucleotide ribosomal RNA is filed under the name uncultured bacterium. RNAcentral describes it as "partial 16S ribosomal RNA". It matches the Rfam family "Bacterial small subunit ribosomal RNA", at positions 29 to 505 of the family's 1533-position model. The record is from RNAcentral.
AGUGAACGCUGGCGGUAGGCCUAACACAUGCAAGUCGAACGGCAGCACAGUAAGAGCUUGCUCUUACGGGUGGCGAGUGGCGGACGGGUGAGGAAUACAUCGGAAUCUACUUUUUCGUGGGGGAUAACGUAGGGAAACUUACGCUAAUACCGCAUACGACCUACGGGUGAAAGCAGGGGAUCUUCGGACCUUGCGCGAUUGAAUGAGCCGAUGUCGGAUUAGCUAGUUGGCGGGGUAAAGGCCCACCAAGGCGACGAUCCGUAGCUGGUCUGAGAGGAUGAUCAGCCACACUGGAACUGAGACACGGUCCAGACUCCUACGGGAGGCAGCAGUGGGGAAUAAUGGACAAUGGGCGCAAGCCUGAUCCAGCCAUACCGCGUGGGUGAAGAAGGCCUUCGGGUUGUAAAGCCCUUUUGUUGGGAAAGAAAAGCAGCAGGUUAAUACCCCGCUGUUCUGACGGUACCCAAAGAAUAAGCACCGGCUAACUUCG